AGGUGCUGCAUGGCUGUCGCCAGCUCGUGUCGUGAGAUGUUGGUUAAGUCCCGCAACGAGCGCAACCCUUGUCAUUAGUUGCUACAUUCAGUUGGGCACUCUAAUGAGACUGCCGUGACAAACCGGAGGAAGGUGGGGAUGACGUCAAGUCCUCAUGGCCCUUAUAGGUGGGGCUACACACGUCAUACAAUGGAUGGUACAAAGGGUCGCCAACCCGCGAGGGGGAGCCAAUCCCAUAAAGCCAUUCGUAGUCCGGAUCGCAGUCUGCAACUCGACUGCGUGAAGUCGGAAUCGCUAGUAAUCGUGGAUCAGAAUGUCACGGUGAAUACGUUCCCGGGUCUU
RNAcentral lists this ribosomal RNA (342 nucleotides) under uncultured Acidovorax sp. RNAcentral's name for it is "bacterial SSU rRNA". It matches the Rfam family "Bacterial small subunit ribosomal RNA", at positions 1036 to 1382 of the family's 1533-position model. Lineage: Bacteria; Pseudomonadati; Pseudomonadota; Betaproteobacteria; Burkholderiales; Comamonadaceae. The record is from RNAcentral.